RNAcentral lists this transfer RNA (69 nucleotides) under Trigonopterus sp. 5 AH-2016. RNAcentral's name for it is "tRNA-Ser". Lineage: Eukaryota; Metazoa; Arthropoda; Insecta; Coleoptera; Curculionidae. The record is from RNAcentral.
AGUUAAUGAGCUUGAUAAAGCUUUUACUUUGAAAGUAAACCAAAGAAAUUCUAAACUUUCUAUUAGCUU